GUGAGGACGAAACAAGGGGAAGCCCUAUGGAUGGAAGAAUGAGAAGGCUAAUAAGCAAGCUGAGACUGCACUCUUGAGGGAUAAAAUUGAUGACAUAGUGACGUGUAAUUUAGGAGGGGUGGCUUCCAAAUAAUUGGAAGCAAAGUUAAUUGGUCAUGGCUGAGAAAGCAAGAACACAAACUGUUAAGGUGGCAAGCAAACCGGGAAGUUGAGGAUCGCAAGACGGCCAUUUAAGGAGAGGAGAAUCCUUCUAGAGGAGAGCAAGGUGACAACAGAGAUGCUUGUUGAGGAGAACGUGAUGAUAAUGGAUCUGAGAGGAAUGAACCAAUCGGCAAGAGGGUGGUGUGAGUUAAAAAAGAGCUG
Molecule: long non-coding RNA, 363 nt
Filed under: Brachypodium distachyon (stiff brome)
Lineage: Eukaryota; Viridiplantae; Streptophyta; Magnoliopsida; Poales; Poaceae
Description: long non-coding RNA (BDIS_LNC000371)
Source: RNAcentral